Molecule: long non-coding RNA, 167 nt
Organism: Ctenocephalides felis (cat flea)
Lineage: Eukaryota; Metazoa; Arthropoda; Insecta; Siphonaptera; Pulicidae
Exons: 3
Source: RefSeq, a predicted model, not a curated record
AAACAGUAAGCUCAUAUCAAGUAUCUAUCAGGCUAUUCACUUCUCCACUACUGAACCACCAACUGCUAUCAUCAACCCAACCGGCUUCAAACAGUAAGCUCAUAUCAAGUAUCUAUCAGGCUAUUCACUUCUCCACUACUGAACCACCAACUGCUAUCAUCAACCCA